Ipomoea nil (Japanese morning glory) is the source of this 453-nucleotide long non-coding RNA. RefSeq lists it as uncharacterized. Lineage: Eukaryota; Viridiplantae; Streptophyta; Magnoliopsida; Solanales; Convolvulaceae. The record is from RefSeq and is a predicted model, not a curated record. The transcript has 4 exons.
AGCAAAGGUGGUUGGUGACCCUUUUGAUCCAAAUGUUCGACAGGGACCCCAAGCUAGUAAAAACCAGUAUGAGAAGAUACUUUCAUAUAUAGAGCAUGGGAAGAGGGAGGGUGCUACAUUGCUAACUGGUGGUAAGCCACUGGACAGAAAAGGCUAUUUCAUCCAGCCAACUAUAUUUACAGAUGUCUGGAUGACAUGCUAAUUGCAAAAGAUGAAAUUUUUGGACCUGUUAUGCUUAUACUGAAAUUCAAGACAGUGGAGGCGGUGAUAAAGAGGGCUAAUGACACAAAGUAUGCCAAUAACAACAAUAUAUAUUAUAUAUAUGUGUGUAGUUGGAUGUAUGGUAUGCCAUAUGGUAAUCCUAUUACCCAAGGGAAAUUUUGUGUAUAAUUACCACAUGCCAAUUGCCCAAUUGUUGAUAUUUGGAUGUACAGUAAUUUAAACUUGUCAUUU